CCUACGGGUGGCAGCAGUGGGGAAUAUUGCACAAUGGGGGAAACCCUGAUGCAGCGACGCCGCGUGAGUGACGAAGGCUCUCGGGAUGUAAAGCUCUAUCAGCAGGAAAGAAAAUGACGGUACCUGACUAAUAAGCCCCGGCUAACUACGUGCCAGCAGCCGCGGUAAUACGUAGGGGGCAAGCGUUAUCCGGAUUUACGGGGGGUAAAGAGGGCUUAGACGGCGCAGCAAGUCAGUAGUGAAAGCCCAGGGCUGAAACUUGGUACUGCUUUGGAAACUGUAGAGCUUGAGUGCGGGAGAGGCAGGCGGAAUGACUAGUGUAGCGGUGAAAUGCGUAGAUAGUAGGAGGAACACCGGCGGCGAAGGCGGCCUACUGGACCGUAACUGACGUUGAGGCUCGAAAGCGUGGGGAGCAAACAGGAGUAGAUACCCGAGUAGUC
Molecule: ribosomal RNA, 440 nt
Filed under: uncultured bacterium
Lineage: Bacteria
Description: partial 16S ribosomal RNA
Rfam family: Bacterial small subunit ribosomal RNA
Source: RNAcentral